This 110-nucleotide small RNA is filed under the name Photorhabdus luminescens. Its description in RNAcentral is "t44 RNA". It matches the Rfam family "t44 RNA". Rfam says of the family: This family consists of a number of bacterial RNA genes of between 135 and 170 bases in length. The t44 gene is found between the map and rpsB genes in all species in the full alignment apart from Shigella flexneri. Lineage: Bacteria; Pseudomonadati; Pseudomonadota; Gammaproteobacteria; Enterobacterales; Morganellaceae. The record is from RNAcentral.
AAUAUACUCACUGUGUAAUAACACACACGAGUCGGCACAUUCACCGGGGUGCUCUCAUGCAGAACAUGCAGCUAAGGAGUCGGUGUUAUGGGGCUCGUGGAGGCAUAACC